This 496-nucleotide ribosomal RNA is filed under the name uncultured bacterium. RNAcentral describes it as "partial 16S ribosomal RNA". It matches the Rfam family "Bacterial small subunit ribosomal RNA", at positions 28 to 506 of the family's 1533-position model. The record is from RNAcentral.
GAUGAACGCUGGCGGCGUGCCUAAUACAUGCAAGUCGAGCGAACAGACGAGGAGCUUGCUCCUCUGACGUUAGCGGCGGACGGGUGAGUAACACGUGGAUAACCUACCUAUAAGACUGAGAUAACUUCGGGAAACCGGAGCUAAUACCGGAUAAUAUAUUGAACCGCAUGGUUCAAUAGUGAAAGACGGUUUUGCUGUCACUUAUAGAUGGAUCCGCGCCGCAUUAGCUAGUUGGUAAGGUAACGGCUUACCAAGGCAACGAUGCGUAGCCGACCUGAGAGGGUGAUCGGCCACACUGGAACUGAGACACGGUCCAGACUCCUACGGGAGGCAGCAGUAGGGAAUCUUCCGCAAUGGGCGAAAGCCUGACGGAGCAACGCCGCGUGAGUGAUGAAGGUCUUCGGAUCGUAAAACUCUGUUAUUAGGGAAGAACAAAUGUGUAAGUAACUAUGCACGUCUUGACGGUACCUAAUCAGAAAGCCACGGCUAACUACGU